AUUGAACGCUGGCGGCUUGCUUUACACAUGCAAGUCGAGCGGUAACAGGCCUUCGGGUGCUGACGAGUGGCGAACGGGUGAGUAAUGCAUCGGAACGUACCCAGAGGUGGGGGAUAACGCAGCGAAAGCUGUGCUAAUACCGCAUGUGAUCUGAGGAUGAAAGCGGGGGACCGAGCAGCAAUGUUUGGCCUCGCGCCUUUGGAGCGGCCGAUGUCGGAUUAGCUAGUUGGUGGGGUAAAGGCCUACCAAGGCGACGAUCCGUAGCUGGUCUGAGAGGACGACCAGCCACACUGGGACUGAGACACGGCCCAGACUCCUACGGGAGGCAGCAGUGGGGAAUUUUGGACAAUGGGCGCAAGCCUGAUCCAGCAAUGCCGCGUGCGGGAAGAAGGCCUUCGGGUUGUAAACCGCUUUUGGCAGGAACGAAACGGUGUCCGCUAAUACCGGGCGCUAAUGACGGUACCUGCAGAAUAAGCACCGGCUAACUACGUG
This 492-nucleotide ribosomal RNA is filed under the name uncultured bacterium. RNAcentral's name for it is "partial 16S ribosomal RNA". It matches the Rfam family "Bacterial small subunit ribosomal RNA", at positions 29 to 507 of the family's 1533-position model. The record is from RNAcentral.